Solanum stenotomum is the source of this 1046-nucleotide long non-coding RNA. RefSeq lists it as uncharacterized. The transcript has 2 exons. The record is from RefSeq and is a predicted model, not a curated record. Lineage: Eukaryota; Viridiplantae; Streptophyta; Magnoliopsida; Solanales; Solanaceae.
UGUGUAUCCUUUAGAGCAUUUCAUAGCCAUGCACUUUUCCAUAUUUUUAACUCUUCACUUUCUUUAUGUUACUGGCUGUUUUCCCUUUUGUUGGAUUUUGAUUUUAUUUCCUUAGGUUAGGCAUAUGGUUUUAAUAAUGGAUACUAUUCUAGUAGUAAUAUCUAUUGGUGUCUACCUUCUUCUUUCUAGUUGUUUGCGAUACUUUCCACGGUUAGUUUUAAUUUAAAUGAUAUCAAUCCGCAUUAAUAAUUGGGUUUUAGAUUCUUAUAUGAUAUAUUUGUUAGCUUACAUCUUUAGUUGAUCCGGAUGUGGUUAAGCAUGCAGUAGUUUGGUGGAAACAAGCUUAUUAGUUUAAAUUGUGGUGAAAGAAGAAUACAAAAAAAUAAAAAUAAAAUAAAUGUCAAAGUGUGGGGCCUGGUUGCUCUCUAAUUAUUCUAAUCAGUAUUUGUGUCUUUUUUAAGUGUAUUGAAGGAGUUUGUUUCGUUCGCUAAUUUGUUUUCUUCUUUUCCUUUGUUGUGACAUGCCGACGGAGUCCAAUUCGGACUCAAGUCUUUCCCCUUGCAUUUCGGAUGGGGCCAUAAAGGUCCCAAAUCCCUUUUUUCCUUUUGAGUCAGCCCUCAUACCAAGCUGCGAAACCGGCGUACAGGUGGAAGCCAAUAAAUGAAGGCUGGAAAUUAAAUUUUGCAGGUCUCAAGAGGCCCCCAAAGGGCUGAUAUACCUGCUGUAUACACUUGUAUACAGCCGGAAAUAUGACUUACAGGUUGCAAAAAUACAAGGGUGCAAGUUUGAUGAUAAGACAUAAGUCAAUAGCUAUUGUUCAAGGAAAAAUGCAGAAAUACGGACCCAAAUACGAUUCACAUACAGGGAUAUACAUAAAGCAUAUACACAAAUUUCUUGAAAGCAAAUGGGGCCAAAGGCCCAAGGGAAUUCCAGCAAAUCCAAGAAUUGGGCCAAAGGCCCAAAUUUAAUAUUCCUCUCCUUGCUCUCAUUUAUUUUGUUAUAUUUGACUAACGUUUUGAUUAUUUUAUGAUUAUUAUUUAAUUAAA